Long non-coding RNA from Cyprinus carpio carpio, 667 nucleotides. The record is from Ensembl. NCBI's taxonomy places the organism in Eukaryota, Metazoa, Chordata, Actinopteri, Cypriniformes, Cyprinidae.
UUUUUGUGAAGUGUCCCUUUGAAUCAUUUUUAAUCAUGUUAAUGAGGAUUAUGUAAUCAUUUAUAUUCACAAACAGUAUUGAAGAAUUUGAUUUUCAAACCCUUUACCCUAUUUAUAUUAGAAUAAAACAGACAAAUAAUUGUUAACGCUUUAAGUUGUGUUCUAUUGAAAGGAUCUAGCUACAGGCUAACCAGAGUUUGACUCGGCGGAAGCAUAAAUAUUGCAGCGCGGAAGGAUACAUGAGUGAAUCGACAGUGAUCCAAGUGUCAAUCAAAGGUGGGAGGAUGGCGCUUCGACAUUUAUCCACGUAGGAUUUAAUCACCGGAGUUAUUUAAUUUUGGGAUAGAGGUCACUGAAGAGGAGAGAAGUAAAUUCAAAGAUAAUGAAGUUGACGGAGAAGCAGUGGACUAUGGAUUGACUGAGAGGAUGAUUUCAUGCCUCUUUGAAGGAUCGUUUAAGAAGCAAGCCAAAUUCAACCGAUUUGUUCAGCAGUUCUAAACAUACACACAGAUUGGGCAUUAUGUGGAAAACUAUUAAUUCCUCUUUCUUUCUGUCAUCACUAUUACGCCUACUUGGUGAAUUAUGAACAGGACUGGACUGUCCUUGGCCCCCUUUGAGGUGAUGGAUUUUCAUGCUUUGGAUACAUACGGUGUCGAUGAUAAACUGU